Molecule: ribosomal RNA, 425 nt
Filed under: uncultured bacterium
Lineage: Bacteria
Description: bacterial SSU rRNA
Rfam family: Bacterial small subunit ribosomal RNA
Source: RNAcentral
AGGGAAGACGGUCUUCGGAUUGUAAACCUCUGUCUUUGGGGAAGAAAAUGACGGUACCCAAAGAGGAAGCUCCGGCUAACUACGUGCCAGCAGCCGCGGUAAUACGUAGGGAGCGAGCGUUGUCCGGAAUUACUGGGUGUAAAGGGAGCGUAGGCGGGCGAGAAAGUUGAAUGUUAAAUCUACCGGCUUAACUGGUAGCUGCGUUCAAAACUUCUUGUCUUGAGUGAAGUAGAGGCAGGCGGAAUUCCUAGUGUAGCGGUGAAAUGCGUAGAUAUUAGGAGGAACACCAGUGGCGAAGGCGGCCUGCUGGGCUUUAACUGACGCUGAGGCUCGAAAGCGUGGGGAGCAAACAGGAUUAGAUACCCUGGUAGUCCACGCUGUAAACGAUGAUUACUAGGUGUGGGGGGACUGACCCCUUCCGUGCC